This 22-nucleotide microRNA is filed under the name Pteropus alecto (black flying fox). RNAcentral describes it as "pal-miR-9996-5p". Lineage: Eukaryota; Metazoa; Chordata; Mammalia; Chiroptera; Pteropodidae. The record is from miRBase by way of RNAcentral.
UUUACCAUCAUUCUGCCCUGUC